UGGAUCCAGACUUUGAUCCUGGCUCAGGAUGAACGCUAGCGACAGGCUUAACACAUGCAAGUCGUGGGGCAGCGGGGGUGAAGGCUUGCCUUCACCUGCCGGCGACCGGCGCACGGGUGAGUAACACGUAUGCAACCUGGCCGUGACAGGAGGAUAACCGGUAGAAAUGCCGCCUAAUACUCCAUAAUACUUUGCGGGGACAUCCCCGUGAGGUCGAAGGAAGCGAUUCCGGUCACGGAUGGGCAUGCGGCGCAUUAGCUAGUCGGCGGGGUAACGGCCCACCGAGGCGACGAUGCGUAGGGGUUCUGAGAGGAAGGUCCCCCACAUUGGAACUGAGACACGGUCCAGACUCCUACGGGAGGCAGCAGUGAGGAAUAUUGGUCAAUGGGCGAAAGCCUGAACCAGCCAAGUCGCGUGAGGGAAUAAGGCCCUAUGGGCCGUAAACCUCUUUUGCCGGGGAGCAAGAUCGGGGACGUGUCCCUGAUUGGAGAGUACCCGGAGAAAAAGCAUCGGCUAACUCCGUGCCAGCAGCCGCGGUAAUACGGAGGAUGCGAGCGUUAUCCGGAUUUAUUGGGUUUAAAGGGUGCGUAGGCGGGCUCUUAAGUCAGCGGUAAAAUUGCGGUGCUCAACGCCGUAGAGCCGUUGAAACUGGGAGCCUUGAGUGAGCGAGAAGUAGGCGGAAUGCGUGGUGUAGCGGUGAAAUGCAUAGAUAUCACGCAGAACUCCGAUUGCGAAGGCAGCUUACCGGCGCUCAACUGACGCUGAGGCACGAAAGUGCGGGGAUCGAACAGGCUCAGAUACCCUGGUAGUCCGCAUAGUAAACGAUGGAUGCUAUCUGUUCGGGGAGAAUGAUUCCUGAGCGGAACAGCGAAAGCGUUAAGCAUCCCACCUGGGGAGUACGCCGGCAACGGUGCAACUCAAAUGAAUUGACGGA
Molecule: ribosomal RNA, 934 nt
Filed under: uncultured Bacteroidota bacterium
Lineage: Bacteria; Pseudomonadati; Bacteroidota
Description: bacterial SSU rRNA
Rfam family: Bacterial small subunit ribosomal RNA
Source: RNAcentral